UUCUGUGGCUCAGUCAGUAGAGCAUUGAGCUAACAAUGCAAAGGUCAUGGGUUCAAACCCAGGGAAA
This 67-nucleotide transfer RNA is filed under the name Danionella cerebrum. RNAcentral's name for it is "tRNA-Val". The record is from RNAcentral. Lineage: Eukaryota; Metazoa; Chordata; Actinopteri; Cypriniformes; Danionidae.